AUGUUUUGAAUAAGAAAUUCGCAAAUGGAGAUAUCCAAUACAUCACUUUUGUAAAACAGUUGUAUUAAUUGGCGGUAAAAAUCUAACUGAUACAAUUAAAAAUAUUUCGCUCUUGUAAGUAAUUAGCAAAAGUUUAUGUUGAAUUUGAACAUUUAUAACAGUACAGCAUUUAUCUUCUUUUUUAUAUAUGUAGACUGUCAACAGACACUAUUUUGUCAGAAUACAGCAUGAAUUGUCUAAAAAAGAAAAAAAAGUUUAAAGAGUUGACAUGUCUAUGUUACGCUGUCACUGAAGAUGCUUUAAAGUCAAAUAAAAACUUAACCAAAAUGGAUGCCAUCCAACUUAUUGGGAGAGUAAUUAGGCAUUCUUCUGACCGAAUAAAGAGAACAUCAACUAAUAUGAAUUUUGAUCAAUAAUGGCUUAAUUAACUGUUGUGUUUUUUUUUUUUUUUUUUCCAUUUUUAAGCAAUUUUCUUCUAUUAAUAAUGCACUAUCGAUUAUAUUCUACAGU
Hydra vulgaris (swiftwater hydra) is the source of this 510-nucleotide non-coding RNA. Lineage: Eukaryota; Metazoa; Cnidaria; Hydrozoa; Anthoathecata; Hydridae. The record is from RefSeq and is a predicted model, not a curated record.